AAUGGAUUUGCAUAAGGCAGAAUAGUCUAGAAUUUAUGAGGAUUCAAGAUAGUUUAAGCUAAGAAUACAAAAAAGCUUUAUAAAUGAGGUUUAGAAAGUUAAGAGAUUCAAUUUUUGCACUUUUCUAUAAUCUUUUAUUCUGAAUCUGCAGCAGAUCAGCUGAGUGCUACUGAAAAUAGAAUAGUAAUCACAGCUCCUGCUCUGACCACCUUUUCUGAUUUGCUGUUCAUGCUAAAAAAAUGUGCAAGGCAGGCCUGUAAAUGAUCAUGGACCCAGACCUUUACUUGUGGCGCAGUGUAGAUGUAACCAUAUGGACUAGCAGAACAGGGGAAUGGAUCAAUUCUGAUUCCAUUUUGAUUAAAAAGAACUGAGUCAAAGCCAGACAAAAUUACCUCGCACCUGAAUAACCAAUUUAUUUGUGUUCAAUGGUGACUUGAUCUGUGGCAAGAUAGCAAAUAGAAAAUGGUCUGCCUUCUCUCAGAUGUUGUCAGCUGAAAUCAGGUAGAUAAGAGGGCAGUUCCCUUUGACCAGGAGUACCUGCAGGAGAAGCUUGGACAGAGCUCUGAGGAAGAAUGCAGAAGAACCACAGUCACUGAAAUUCCUGGUCUCCUUAGCAACACAGGCUGCAAAGAGCUCACCAGUCUGGUGUUCUGCUGCAUGCAUGAGCUUCCAAUUCAACUGGAAGAACUUUGGUUUAGGAUUCAGAACUUCCCUUUGACCACUUCAAAAUACUGGUGAGGGAGACUCUUCUUUUGCAUAUGGUCUCAUAAAAGCUAUAAUUUCAAUGUUUAUCCUUGAAAUAUAUAACCAAGAGGAGCUUCUGAGAAAAGAAAAUUUUCGUGGCAGAAGACUGAACAACUUAUUCUGUUCCCCUGCACCAUGACCAUAGAACAAAAUAUCUUAAUACUGCAACUAAAUUCUUUAACAUAGCUCCCCUUAAUAACUUAAAAGGAUGCAAAAAUGUAUACAAGAGUAAUACUGUGUCUUUCCCAAAGCUUCUAGAAACUAAUCAUUUUUCUUCUGUUAUGAGGCAGAAAUGUGAGAAAUCUUACUACAGACACACCCGUCUGUGUCACUGUUGUGA
RNAcentral lists this long non-coding RNA (1084 nucleotides) under Corvus moneduloides (New Caledonian crow). Its description in RNAcentral is "lncRNA (ENSCMUG00000017438.1)". The record is from RNAcentral. Lineage: Eukaryota; Metazoa; Chordata; Aves; Passeriformes; Corvidae.